This 517-nucleotide long non-coding RNA is filed under the name Rattus norvegicus (Norway rat). Its description in RNAcentral is "long non-coding RNA NONRATT013124". The record is from RNAcentral. Lineage: Eukaryota; Metazoa; Chordata; Mammalia; Rodentia; Muridae.
GAUACACACAGUGCGUGCCUGUGUGUUAUGUGCACACACAUAUUUAAAACAAUUCCAAACUCCAUGGCAGAGUGAACCUCAGUAGAAUUGGGAGAAACACGGCUAAAGCUAUUGGCCAAAAGCCAGGGAUAAUGUCUGCAUUUCUCUUCCUUCUCACAAAGUUCUGUUGUUCAGCACUGGGAGAAGGAGUCUUUUCCAAAGACAUCCCCGUUCUCCAAUUCACACGGCCCACAAUUCCUUGGCAAGGUCUGUAAGAGUGGGAGUCAGGCUCAGAGAAAGCAAACAGGUUGUUGGCACAUGUCGGCCAAAUGAGAGGCAUGGGCCUGACCGGGCAGAAGUACCGCUGUCCUCGGCAGUCAUUUGCCAGGAUUUCAGGGGUUGGUUCAGACUUCACCUCAGACCUCCAGAAGCCUGUCAACCUGUAGCGUAACUGUUCAGAAGUAAGCUGACUCAGCUCCAACCGUUCACCCUCUCUUCUUGGCUAUCAUCACCUCAGGGUGCUGGGAACCAGGCGGCC